GGGGGUAUAGCUCAGUGAUAGAGUGUGUGCUUAGCAUGCACGAGCUCUUGGGUUCAAUCCCCAGUCCCUCCA
This 72-nucleotide transfer RNA is filed under the name Camelus bactrianus (Bactrian camel). It matches the Rfam family "tRNA". From Rfam's summary of the family: Transfer RNA (tRNA) molecules are approximately 80 nucleotides in length. Their secondary structure includes four short double-helical elements and three loops (D, anti-codon, and T loops). Lineage: Eukaryota; Metazoa; Chordata; Mammalia; Artiodactyla; Camelidae. The record is from Rfam by way of RNAcentral. RNAcentral also lists the same sequence under 2 other names.